GCAGCCCAGGAGGAAGGAGCUUUCUGCUGCAGAAAAGAUGAGAAGCCUGCUGAAGGAGCAGCACAUGACAUGGCUGUGGGAUGAAGAACCCUGCAAUCUGUGCUGCUACUUGCUGUGAUCUGGAGAGCUCUGGAAGUUGUCCUUGCAUUGUGAAGUUCUAGGAACCAGCUAAACCAGUGAUGUUCAAACUAUCUGGACCUGCAGGCAAGAUGAAUGGCACAGGUGAUAACCUUGGGCCAUGAGGUCUAAGGGACAUAAUGAGCCACAAGAGCCACUCAUGGGAAUUAACUGGCAGCCAGCAUUGAGCAGGAGGGAAGAAUCCGCAGGAGAAGCCAACAUCCAAUGGACUCAAAAGCCCAUCAGUAAGAUGGAAAUACAACCUGAUACCUGAGAAAGUGCAAAGACCAUUAAGACUGGAGGGCAAGCCACGCUGACAUCAGGCAGUCCAUUGUAGGCUGGUGUAUGGAAGGGGUGUAGGGGAGGUGAAGCCUCAUGAAUAUCUGUCAGGAGGAAUGACCGAUCUCGAGGGACUUCCAACAGGAGACCCCACCAUUGAAGUUAAAUUCAAAGUCAUGGCAGGUGAGUUCUGGGGUACUCCCUGGGGUGAUCAAGGCCCCUACCAGAGGUAACUCGAAGCCUCUCUGUGUCCAUCACCAGGCACCCACGCCAAGGUGGUGCGCAAAUGGAUCUUUGAAGUGAGACGGGCACAAGGAUGUUGGAGCCCCAUAAGAAGAGUGGCCUCUAGUUCUUGGAAUUAUCAUCAGUCCAUUUUUUCCAGCUCCCAGAAACUUAAGUUGCAACAUCAAGGCAUGUUGGGUGAGAACACUCCAUCUAAGUGAACUGGACCAAGAUGUUCCUAGACUGAAUCUUAAUGGAACAGGCCCACCAGAUCCCAGGAAGGUGGAACAGUGGCCUCGCAGGGGGAGAGAAUUAACAGUGACUGCACAUGCUAACUCCCUGGGCCAUAUCAUCCAGACUGCAAGGCUCCUCACGUGCCUAUAAAUCUUGCAGUGGGGGAGAAGUGGCAGCAUUAAUUGCUGCAGCCUUGGGAGCUAUUAAUACUGCUACUGCUUCCCUGCUGCCAAAUUUACAGACCCCUGGCUACCCUGUGGAGCUGUGUCAUCCAGCAUACAAGCUAGAUAUGGCUUGAAGGAUGGAGGGUUGAGCACUACUGAACUAAUAAAGCUACCAAGGCUCACUGCUUUCAUUCACUUGUGCUUGGUGCUUGCCUAUCUUUUCCCCUUUGGGAUGUCUGUAUUGCAGUUGCUAGUUCCAGUCACUGGAUGGGAGAGUUGGACGUUCAUCUGUUAUUCCUUAUAACAACUGAACUUAGAAAAUGUUGUUCUUGACAUGCUGGAGUGAACAUUCACAACCAGACUGCGUGACAAUUUGCUUUUUCAGCAUAUUCAAGAAAAGGCAGGUUUUUUAUCAGUGUGACAUUUGGAAAUUUCAAUCCAAAAUUGAUCCUGGUUUUGAAAAAUAUGGGUUUUUUUUAGUUUACACAAGAUCACAAAAAUAUGACUUUCCUAGUCCAUUAUCAAACCUCAAAGAUUAUUAAACUAAAUGCAAGUUAGGCCCAGAACUUCACAAAACCAACAUAAAAUCCAAAACCUUCUUCAGCUGAAGUGUUUUGUUUUUUUUAAUUUGCUACAAAUUUUUGUUCAAAUUAAUGCUGUUCCUAUUUAGAGAGAGCUAUUUAUUCUCUGUUCCCAUUUAUUGCUAAGAAAAUUAAUAAAAUAUGAACAAUGACCUGUGAAGGACUGAAUGCAAAGUUGUCUGGUGUUAUAAAGACACAGGCAUAAAUUCAUCAGAUCUUAUAUACCAAGUAUAGUUGGACUGUAAUGAAAUCCUGAGUCAUUGUGAGGAAGAAUUAUUCUGCAUGCCACUAGAGGACACUGUAUACCUUAAAUAAAAAGGCUAACUUGCUAAUU
Long non-coding RNA from Alligator mississippiensis (American alligator), 1931 nucleotides. RefSeq lists it as uncharacterized. The record is from RefSeq and is a predicted model, not a curated record. Lineage: Eukaryota; Metazoa; Chordata; Crocodylia; Alligatoridae. The transcript is spliced from 4 exons.